RNAcentral lists this long non-coding RNA (1634 nucleotides) under Gallus gallus (chicken). Lineage: Eukaryota; Metazoa; Chordata; Aves; Galliformes; Phasianidae. The record is from RNAcentral.
GGGGAAGAAGCAUGAACUUUUUAUUUGUGUGCACAGGGCAUUCCUAGCGAGUUAACACCUUGUAUGCGUUCCCAUUCAGCACUUCGCAAGGUCCAGCGGCGUUUUCUGCAGCUGAUAACUGGAGAUUUUUCCUUCAGACUUCUGUGUUUUAAAUCCUGAAACUGCUGUGCAGUCAGAAAAAACCCACCCGUGUAUACAAAGUGUUGCACUGCGAUAUUGUUCACAGUGGGGCUUUAGAAAGAAUUCUGUAGGGGAUCUUUUAAAAUGUGCGUUUUGCAAUCCUACUGUCUGUGUAGGGCAAACGCUUCAGUUACUGAUGCCCGAUGUUGAUAAGGUUGUGUGCAGAGUGCAGUUCAAAGGAAAACAUCCCUGCGAGAAGGGAAAAUCUGUAGCUCCUGUUUUCUGCUCUACCGCUUAUCGGAGAGGGCGCCUCGCUCACGUACAGACGUGUUCUUUCAGCAGUGGUGGAGAAGCAGCUUGUGUUUCUGUCCGAAGGAUUUUUAGCUAUACUGCCACCUUGAAGACCUGCGAUAAAUAACAAGCUGGAAGGUGCUCUGGGCAAGGCUGUGAAUGAAAAGUACUGUGUAUACGCAUAAAGAGAAGUUCCCUAUUUAUUUUUCUGCCGACAAAGCCUGCAAGCCUCUGGUUUCAGGUAGCACUUCUUAGAGUUGGGGAGUUUGUCCUGCAAGAGAGAGGCAACAGUAGAGGCAAGAUUGAUCAAGGGUGUCCUGGAUGAAGGGAAGGUGGAUUGUGAAAGUGCUUAUUCCUGUGGGUACAGAAAGGGAUGAUCCCGUGUGUCAGUGUGCCAGUCUGUUAGUGGAUUUGCUAGUCUUUUGACUCUUAUGCUGGUACAUUGAGAAGCAUGCAUCCCUGUCUACAAAACAGUGAAAGCCUGAGUUCCUUGCAGGUUGUGAGUACCAGCAGACUUCAGACCAUGUUUGCAGCCUUUUGACACCAGUGCUGUGACAUCAGGCAAGCAACCUUGUCAUUCUUAGCAACCUACUUUUCACAUGUUUUUUUUUUGUGCGUUAGGUUUAGAAUUUGGACCUCCUGCUUUGAGGAAACUAAAAACUUUCUGAUAACCACUAUCAGGUUUUCUUGUUCCAAGUCAAUUAGCCGCUUCUGGCUUCAGGUCCAUUUAGAAGGCUGAAAAGCAGUGCUCUUUGAAAACCUCGUAAUAGCAGUUGAGUUAAUAUUGGUAAAGGAGUGCAUCUCUGUGGGUAGCCUGAUGUCACUGUGCUGCGUCUGGGGGAAGCAAAGCUGCUCUUGGUGAGCUAAGUGAGAUGGGAGGUGGAAGUAUUUCUCUUACAUACUUUUAACUGUAUGGCUUGAAAUGAAAAUAGAGAAUAAUAUAGUUAUUAGGGUUGUGGCGAAAGCCUAUUUGAAUGCAAGCUGUCCACUGUGUCAGGCUGCUCUUCAGUGACCUCUGAGUCAAGAAGACACGUGGUACUAUCUGUCCUAUUAUUUUUUAAUUGCAUGAUUACAUUAAGAGAGAAGGAAAGAGUACUGUGUACAGUUUUGGGCCCCUCGCUGUAAGAAAGACAUCGAGGCCCUGCAGCGUGUCCAGAGGAGGGCAACAAAGCUGGUGAGAGGUCUGGAGCACAGGCCUUAUGAAGAGCGGCUGAAGGAGCUGG